GAGGGUGUAGCUCAGCAGAAGAGUGCAUGCUUGCAUGCAUGAGGUCAUGGGUUCUAUUCCCAGUACCUCUG
Transfer RNA from Camelus ferus (Wild Bactrian camel), 71 nucleotides. It matches the Rfam family "tRNA". From Rfam's summary of the family: Transfer RNA (tRNA) molecules are approximately 80 nucleotides in length. NCBI's taxonomy places the organism in Eukaryota, Metazoa, Chordata, Mammalia, Artiodactyla, Camelidae. The record is from Rfam.